Molecule: long non-coding RNA, 416 nt
Organism: Helicoverpa zea (corn earworm)
Lineage: Eukaryota; Metazoa; Arthropoda; Insecta; Lepidoptera; Noctuidae
Exons: 2
Source: RefSeq, a predicted model, not a curated record
CUAGCGAAUGAGUUCGUGGAAGGUGGUGUUCACAGCACUGUUGGAUCGGCUGGAAAUUCUCCGCUUGCUGACAAUUAUGUCAAUGGUUGGCAUACGUUGGUGGCCGACGUGGGAAGCUCGGGAACCUCCUUGUGCUAUUGAUGUUCCGGCUAUACAUCCUGUUGGAAAUCAAACCCAACAUACCUUCGGCAAAGGGCGCUAGGGGCCGCCUACUCGCUUCUGAGUCAUCGUGGCGAGCGACGCAGCGGCGAGCGGUGCAGCGAGGGGGGCGCCGGGCGAGAGGGGCAUAGACCAGUCUUGCGCUCACGGACACCACCGACGACGGUCGACAUUCGCUCAUAAUAUAUUAAUUGUUUGUCCGCGAGAUCUUUGAUUAUUGUAAUUAGAACGGCAAUAAACCGCGCCUAUCAACAAUA